RNAcentral lists this ribosomal RNA (440 nucleotides) under uncultured bacterium. RNAcentral's name for it is "partial 16S ribosomal RNA". It matches the Rfam family "Bacterial small subunit ribosomal RNA", at positions 338 to 795 of the family's 1533-position model. The record is from RNAcentral.
CCUACGGGAGGCAGCAGUGGGGAAUAUUGCACAAUGGGGGAAACCCUGAUGCAGCGACGCCGCGUGAGCGAUGAAGUAUUUCGGUAUGUAAAGCUCUAUCAGCAGGGAAGAAAAUGACGGUACCUGACUAAGAAGCCCCGGCUAACUACGUGCAAGCAGCAGCGGUAAUACGGAGGGGGCAAGCGUUAUCCGGAUUAUCUGGGUGUAAAGGGAGCGUAGACGGCUGUGCAAGCCAGAUGUGAAAGCCCGGGGCUCAACCCCCGGACUGCAUUUGGAACUGUGUGGCUGGAGUGUCGGAGAGGCAUGCGGAAUACCUAGUGUAGCGGUGAAAUGCGUAGAUAUUAGGAGGAACACCAGUUGCGAAGGCAGCCUGCUGGACGAUGACUGACGUUGAGGCUCGAAAGCGUGGGGAGCAAACAGGAUUAGAUACCCUGGUAGUC